Long non-coding RNA from Phasianus colchicus (ring-necked pheasant), 433 nucleotides. RefSeq lists it as uncharacterized. The record is from RefSeq and is a predicted model, not a curated record. NCBI's taxonomy places the organism in Eukaryota, Metazoa, Chordata, Aves, Galliformes, Phasianidae.
CAUGCUGUGACAUCAUAGUGGGACAACUCACAGAGCUGAGCUGCACGUCCUGCCCCACAGCUCAGCCUUGGGGUGAGGCUGCUUCUCUCUUACAGGAGUAGAACAUGGAUGGGAAGCAGAGCCAGGCUGACCCGCAGAGCUACUUCUGCAUGGAGCAUGGAGCUGCUGGGAGGAACAGGACAGCUGGUAACUGCAGCCCCGCAGUGCCUUGGGUGUGACAUUGGCUGUACGUUGUUUCUUACAUCUGUGAUCUGGGGGCAAACAGGGGCCUGAAGUGAUGCCUGUCACGGAGAAAACAUCAUCAGGCAGAAAUGAUCUCAUGUUUUGUCUAAUCUAAAUUCUGUCAAGCAAGCAGGGAGAAAGAAAAAAAAAAAAAAGGGAUGGAAAGCAAGCAAGAGAAGACUACGCAGCUAAUAAAAAUCUGUGAGACACA